Molecule: long non-coding RNA, 1061 nt
Organism: Grammomys surdaster
Lineage: Eukaryota; Metazoa; Chordata; Mammalia; Rodentia; Muridae
Exons: 2
Source: RefSeq, a predicted model, not a curated record
UGCAGGGCUCUGGGUGCGGAUCUUUGCAAUCUCGUUUCCUUCUUUUGCCUUUGGUCACUGUUGUGGACAAGUUGCGAGCUGAGGCGACCAAAACGCACCUCCCUAGCACACCCUCCCUGGACUGUCUAGACACCACUCCCACAGAGGAGGAACGGGCGAUUGGGAUGACUGACACUACAAACGCCAUCUUUCACGUGGGCGGAACUUGUCUCUGCUUGACGCGCCGCUGUUUCCUCGUGGGACUCCACAGGCACCUAAGCAUAACUGUCAUCUGAGAGACGUCCCCAGCAACUGAUGGAAAUAGAUGCAGAAACCCACAGCCAAACAUUAUGUGGAACUUGGGCAAUUCUAUGGAAGACGGGAAGGAAGAACUGAAGGAAACAAAGAAAUCAAGGACACCACAAGAAAACCUACAGAAGCUACUAACCUAGUCCCAUAGGGACUCACAAAGACUGAACCACGAAACAGAGAACAUGCAUGGUAUGGACCUAGGCCUUGUGCACAUAUGUUAAUAGUUGUGCAUUUUGGUCUUCAUGUGGUAUCCUUAACAACAGGAGCAGGGACUGUCUAUGACUCUGUUGGCCUUUGGAUUCCUUUCCCCUAACUGGGCUGCUUUGUCUAGCCACAAUAGGAGAAGAUGCGCCAAGUUCUACUGCAACUUGAUUUGCCAGUGGAGAUUGAUAUCCAUGGAAGGCCUCCCAUUUCUGAGGAGAAAGAUUAGACAGGAGAAUGAGUGGGUGUGGGGCUGUAGAAGACACCCUGGGGUGUUUGGCCAUGCCCCCAGAACCCAGAGACCUAACAUGAAGUCCCACUUCCAUUUAACCUGCAUGCUAGGUCACGUAAGGCACAGUUAGAGGGCGUGACUAACAGGCCUCUGCUUCGAGAUUUACAUAUUAAUGAAUUACCUAAAGGCCGGAGUGUAGAUAACUAAAUUUUCAUCUCCCUAGCCCCUCCUUUUUCCCCCCGCUCCCCAAUAUAAUUGAGCCCCUCCUGGGGUUUUGGGGGAGAGCACGUCAUUCCAGAUACAGCUAUUAUGGCCAAUAAAACUUCCAUGUCGUCAA